Long non-coding RNA from Coffea eugenioides, 378 nucleotides. RefSeq lists it as uncharacterized. NCBI's taxonomy places the organism in Eukaryota, Viridiplantae, Streptophyta, Magnoliopsida, Gentianales, Rubiaceae. The transcript has 2 exons. The record is from RefSeq and is a predicted model, not a curated record.
UUUUAUUUUGCUAUUUUAAGUGGUUAAUUGCUCAAACUGAUCAAAAUGACAAAUCAAAGAAACCAGAUGACCUAUUUUGUUGGGUAAUCUGUAUACCUCUUCAUUCAACUGAUGUAGUACUGCAAUUAUCCCUUCUUCCAGAGUAGAUUUCCUCAGAAGGAGAGUCCAUUUCUUCUCAUCUUCCAGAGUAGACUGAAGCAUUUAUGUCUCUCCUUGAUUUGGUGCGAUCAUUCCACUCAUCAGGGGCAAGCACAGUCAUGCAUUCUAUCAAGCCAACAUUAUCCAUCAUAAUCUGUUUGUAAAAUGUUCUCCAUGUUCCUUUCUGGUUUGAUGUUUAAUAAUGUACACUUUAUGAUCCAUCAUAAUCUGUUUGUAAAA